Molecule: ribosomal RNA, 409 nt
Filed under: Verrucomicrobiota bacterium
Lineage: Bacteria; Pseudomonadati; Verrucomicrobiota
Description: Verrucomicrobia bacterium partial 16S ribosomal RNA
Rfam family: Bacterial small subunit ribosomal RNA
Source: RNAcentral
UGGGGAAUAUUGCACAAUGGGCGGAAGCCUGAUGCAGCGACGCCGCGUGAGGGAUGACGGCCUUCGGGUUGUAAACCUCUUUCAGUAGGGACGAAGCGUAAGUGACGGUACCUGCAGAAGAAGCACCGGCUAACUACGUGCCAGAAGCCGCGGUAAUACGUAGGGUGCGAGCGUUGUCCGGAAUUACUGGGCGUAAAGAGCUCGUAGGCGGUUUGUCACGUCGUCUGUGAAAUCCUAGGGCUUAACCCUGGACGUGCAGGCGAUACGGGCUGACUUGAGUACUACAGGGGAGACUGGAAUUUCUGGUGUAGCGGUGGAAUGCACAGAUAUCAGGAAGAACACCGAUGGCGAAGGCAGGUCUCUGGGUAGUAACUGACGCUGAGGAGCGAAAGCAUGGGUAGCGAACAGG